RNAcentral lists this ribosomal RNA (484 nucleotides) under uncultured bacterium. RNAcentral describes it as "partial 16S ribosomal RNA". It matches the Rfam family "Bacterial small subunit ribosomal RNA", at positions 30 to 507 of the family's 1533-position model. The record is from RNAcentral.
AUUGAACGCUGGCGGCAGGCCUAACACAUGCAAGUCGAGCGGAUGAAGGGAGCUUGCGCCUGGAUUCAGCGGCGGACGGGUGAGUAAGGCCUAGGAAUCUGCCUGGCAUUGGGGGAUAACGUCCGGUAACGGGCGCUAAUACCGCAUACGUCCUGAGGUUGAAACGGGGGGAUCUUCGGACCUCACGCUAUCAGAUGAGCCUAGGUCGGAUUAGCUAGUUGGUGGGGUAAAGGCCUACCAAGGCGACGAUCCGUAACUGGUCUGAGAGGAUGAUCAGUCACACUGGAACUGAGACACGGUCCAGACUCCUACGGGAGGCAGCAGUGGGGAAUCUUCGACAAUGGGCGAAAGCCUGAUGCAGCCAUGCCGCGUGUGUGAAGAAGGUCUUCGGAUUGUAAAGCACUUUAAGUUGGGAGGAAGAGCAGUAAAUUAAUACCUUGCUGUUUUGACGUUACCAACAGAAUAAGCACCGGCUAACUUCGUG